CGGAGGAUCCAAGCGUUAUCCGGAAUCAUUGGGUUUAAAGGGUCCGUAGGCGGGUUUAUAAGUCAGUGGUGAAAGCCCAUCGCUCAACGAUGGAACGGCCAUUGAUACUGUAGAUCUUGAAUUAUUAGGAAGUAACUAGAAUAUGUAGUGUAGCGGUGAAAUGCUUAGAGAUUACAUGGAAUACCAAUUGCGAAGGCAGGUUACUACUGAUGGAUUGACGCUGAUGGACGAAAGCGUGGGUAGCGAACAGGAUUAGAUACCCUGGUAGUCCACGCCGUAAACGAUGGAUACUAGCUGUUCGGAGCUAAUCUGAGUGGCUAAGCGAAAGUGAUAAGUAUCCCACCUGGGGAGUACGUUCGCAAGAAUG
RNAcentral lists this ribosomal RNA (367 nucleotides) under uncultured organism. RNAcentral's name for it is "bacterial SSU rRNA". It matches the Rfam family "Bacterial small subunit ribosomal RNA", at positions 526 to 896 of the family's 1533-position model. The record is from RNAcentral.